AAGAGAACAUAGAAAUGAAAGAAGCUGCUAACUAUCUUUUAAAGCGGUUAAAUUCCGUUUUUCUCUUA
This 68-nucleotide transfer RNA is filed under the name Malcus setosus. Its description in RNAcentral is "tRNA-Ser". Lineage: Eukaryota; Metazoa; Arthropoda; Insecta; Hemiptera; Malcidae. The record is from RNAcentral.